RNAcentral lists this ribosomal RNA (392 nucleotides) under uncultured bacterium. RNAcentral describes it as "partial 16S ribosomal RNA". It matches the Rfam family "Bacterial small subunit ribosomal RNA", at positions 523 to 918 of the family's 1533-position model. The record is from RNAcentral.
AUACGGAGGAUCCGAGCGUUAUCCGGAUUUAUUGGGUUUAAAGGGUGCGCAGGCGGCCAUUUAAGUCAGCGGUUAAAUCGUGGGGCUCAACCCCAUUCUGCCGUUGAUACUGGGUGGCUUGAUUGCGGUCGAGGUUGGCGGAAUUCGUUGUGUAGCGGUGAAAUGCAUAGAUAUGACGAAGAACACCGAUUGCGUAGGCAGCUGACCAGACCGCAAAUGACGCUCAUGCACGAAAGUGCGGGGAUCGAACAGGAUUAGAUACCCUGGUAGUCCGCACAGUAAACGAUGAAUACUUGUUUUCGGCGAUAUAAUGUCGGAGGCAAAGCGAAAGCGAUAAGUACUCCACCUGGGGAGUACGCCGGCAACGGUGAAACUCAAAGGAAUUGACGGGG